UACAGAGGGAGCAAGCGUUGUUCGGAUUUACUGGGCGUAAAGGGCGCGCAGGCGGGUGGAUAAGUCGGGUGUGAAAUCUGUGGGCUCAACCUGCAGUCUGCACCCGAAACUGUUUACCUUGAGUACAGGAGAGGAGAGUGGAAUCUCAGGUGUAGCGGUGAAAUGCGUAGAUAUCUGAGAGAACACCAGUGGCGAAGGCGGCUCUCUGGCCUGUAACUGACACUGAGGCGCGAAAGCGUGGGGAGCAACCAGG
RNAcentral lists this unclassified non-coding RNA (253 nucleotides) under uncultured bacterium. RNAcentral describes it as "contains 16S-23S intergenic spacer region". It matches the Rfam family "Bacterial small subunit ribosomal RNA", at positions 524 to 776 of the family's 1533-position model. The record is from RNAcentral.